UUUAACUGAAGAGUUUGAUCAUGGCUCAGAUUGAACGCUGGCGGCAGGCUUAACACAUGCAAGUCGAGCGGGGGAAGGUAGCUUGCUACUGGACCUAGCGGCGGACGGGUGAGUAAUGCUUAGGAAUCUGCCUAUUAGUGGGGGACAACAUCUCGAAAGGGAUGCUAAUACCGCAUACGUCCUACGGGAGAAAGCAGGGGAUCUUCGGACCUUGCGCUAAUAGAUGAGCCUAAGUCGGAUUAGCUAGUUGGUGGGGUAAAGGCCUACCAAGGCGACGAUCUGUAGCGGGUCUGAGAGGAUGAUCCGCCACACUGGGACUGAGACACGGCCCAGACUCCUACGGGAGGCAGCAGUGGGGAAUAUUGGACAAUGGGGGGAACCCUGAUCCAGCCAUGCCGCGUGUGUGAAGAAGGCCUUAUGGUUGUAAAGCACUUUAAGCGAGGAGGAGGCUACUUUAGUUAAUACCUAGAGAUAGUGGACGUUACUCGCAGAAUAAGCACCGGCUAACUCUGUGCCAGCAGCCGCGGUAAUACAGAGGGUGCGAGCGUUAAUCGGAUUUACUGGGCGUAAAGCGUGCGUAGGCGGCUUAUUAAGUCGGAUGUGAAAUCCCCGAGCUUAACUUGGGAAUUGCAUUCGAUACUGGUGAGCUAGAGUAUGGGAGAGGAUGGUAGAAUUCCAGGUGUAGCGGUGAAAUGCGUAGAGAUCUGGAGGAAUACCGAUGGCGAAGGCAGCCAUCUGGCCUAAUACUGACGCUGAGGUACGAAAGCAUGGGGAGCAAACAGGAUUAGAUACCCUGGUAGUCCAUGCCGUAAACGAUGUCUACUAGCCGUUGGGGCCUUUGAGGCUUUAGUGGCGCAGCUAACGCGAUAAGUAGACCGCCUGGGGAGUACGGUCGCAAGACUAAAACUCAAAUGAAUUGACGGGGGCCCGCACAAGCGGUGGAGCAUGUGGUUUAAUUCGAUGCAACGCGAAGAACCUUACCUGGCCUUGACAUACUAGAAACUUUCCAGAGAUGGAUUGGUGCCUUCGGGAAUCUAGAUACAGGUGCUGCAUGGCUGUCGUCAGCUCGUGUCGUGAGAUGUUGGGUUAAGUCCCGCAACGAGCGCAACCCUUUUCCUUACUUGCCAGCAUUUCGGAUGGGAACUUUAAGGAUACUGCCAG
This 1161-nucleotide ribosomal RNA is filed under the name Acinetobacter baumannii. RNAcentral describes it as "bacterial SSU rRNA". It matches the Rfam family "Bacterial small subunit ribosomal RNA", at positions 1 to 1155 of the family's 1533-position model. The record is from RNAcentral. Lineage: Bacteria; Pseudomonadati; Pseudomonadota; Gammaproteobacteria; Moraxellales; Moraxellaceae.